Molecule: ribosomal RNA, 674 nt
Filed under: uncultured bacterium
Lineage: Bacteria
Description: bacterial SSU rRNA
Rfam family: Bacterial small subunit ribosomal RNA
Source: RNAcentral
AUGCUUAACACAUGCAAGUCGAACGGUAACAUUUCUAGCUUGCUAGAAGAUGACGAGUGGCGGACGGGUGAGUAAUGCUUGGGAACUUGCCUUUGCGAGGGGGAUAACAGUUGGAAACGACUGCUAAUACCGCAUAAUGUCUUCGGACCAAACGGGGCUUAGGCUCCGGCGCAAAGAGAGGCCCAAGUGAGAUUAGCUAGUUGGUAAGGUAACGGCUUACCAAGGCGACGAUCUCUAGCUGUUCUGAGAGGAAGAUCAGCCACACCGGGACUGAGACACGGCCCGGACUCCUACGGGAGGCAGCAGUGGGGAAUCUUGGACAAUGGGGGCAACCCUGAUCCAGCCAUGCCGCGUGUGUGAAGAAGGCCUUCGGGUUGUAAAGCACUUUCAGUAGGGAGGAAGGCUUACCGCUAAUAACGGUGAGUACUUGACGUUACCUACAGAAGAAGCACCGGCUAAUUUCGUGCCAGCAGCCGCGGUAAUACGAAAGGUGCGAGCGUUAAUCGGAAUUACUGGGCGUAAAGCGCGCGUAGGCGGUUUGUUAAGUCAGAUGUGAAAGCCCCGGGCUCAACCUGGGAAUUGCAUUUGAAACUGGCAGGCUAGAGUGCAGUAGAGGGAGGUGGAAUUUCCGGUGUAGCGGUGAAAUGCGUAGAGAUCGGAAGGAACACCAGUGG